CGGGAAGAGCUCAAAUUUGAAAUCUGGUGGCCUCAGGCUAUCCGAGUUGUAAUCUAUAGAAACAUUUUCCGCGUUGGCCCAUGUACAAGUCUCUUGGAAUAGAGCGUCAUAGAGGGUGAGAAUCCCGUCCUUGACAUGGACUACCAGUGCUUUGUGAUAUGUUUUCAAC
Molecule: ribosomal RNA, 169 nt
Filed under: Filobasidiales sp.
Lineage: Eukaryota; Fungi; Basidiomycota; Tremellomycetes; Filobasidiales
Description: partial large subunit ribosomal RNA
Rfam family: Eukaryotic large subunit ribosomal RNA
Source: RNAcentral